This 72-nucleotide transfer RNA is filed under the name Bos taurus (domestic cattle). It matches the Rfam family "tRNA". Rfam says of the family: Transfer RNA (tRNA) molecules are approximately 80 nucleotides in length. RNAcentral also lists the same sequence under 2 other names. Lineage: Eukaryota; Metazoa; Chordata; Mammalia; Artiodactyla; Bovidae. The record is from Rfam by way of RNAcentral.
UCCCUGGUUGUCCAGUGGCUAAAACUCUAUGCUCUCAAUGCAGGGGCUCAGGUUCAAUCCCUGACCAGGGAA